GAUGAACGCUGGCGGCGUGCCUAAUACAUGCAAGUCGAGCGAACGGACGAGAAGCUUGCUUCUCUGAUGUUAGCGGCGGACGGGUGAGUAACACGUGGAUAACCUACCUAUAAGACUGGGAUAACUUCGGGAAACCGGAGCUAAUACCGUAUGAUAUUUUGAACCGCAUGGUUCAAAAGUGAAAGACGGUCUUGCUGUCACUUAUAGAUGGAUCCGCGCUGCAUUAGCUAGUUGGUAAGGUAACGGCUUACCAAGGCAACGAUGCAUAGCCGACCUGAGAGGGUGAUCGGCCACACUGGAACUGAGACACGGUCCAGACUCCUACGGGAGGCAGCAGUAGGGAAUCUUCCGCAAUGGGCGAAAGCCUGACGGAGCAACGCCGCGUGAGUGAUGAAGGUCUUCGGAUCGUAAAACUCUGUUAUUAGGGAAGAACAUAUGUGUAAGUAACUGUGCACAUCUUGACGGUACCUAAUCAGAAAGCCACGGCUAACUACGUG
RNAcentral lists this ribosomal RNA (497 nucleotides) under uncultured bacterium. RNAcentral describes it as "partial 16S ribosomal RNA". It matches the Rfam family "Bacterial small subunit ribosomal RNA", at positions 28 to 507 of the family's 1533-position model. The record is from RNAcentral.